RNAcentral lists this long non-coding RNA (1017 nucleotides) under Salvator merianae (Argentine black and white tegu). RNAcentral's name for it is "lncRNA (ENSSMRG00000021611.1)". The record is from RNAcentral. Lineage: Eukaryota; Metazoa; Chordata; Lepidosauria; Squamata; Teiidae.
GCCAGCGGCGCCGGCGGCAUCCUUGGCCCUCUGGUGCCACAGUCAGAAGACCCCUUUUUCACGGCUCCUUUUCCUCGCCCUCGGGCGGGAAGCUGGANGCUCCGAGCUCGGCCGGCCGGCCCUCCAGCUGCUGGAGACCCCCGACUCCCAGGAGCUUCAGCCGGCCUGGGCACUAGCAAAGGGUGCUGCUGCGGUUUGGGUUCAGGCGCCGCGAGAGGCCGGCAUCGUCCUUGCUGCUGGCAGACGACGUGCCGCCUCACUCUGCACGUGGGCAGAGGCACGCUCUCCUCCUCCUCCUCCUCCUCGCCACGGCCGCUGACGCGCGAGGCUGCUGGCUCCUCCCCCGUCCGCCCCUCGGAGUCGGCGGCGCGCCCUGAUCCGGGACCGGUCCGGGAGCAGGAGGAGCGGCGGGUGGGCGGCUCGGCUCGGCUAGCGCAGGCAGGGCGCGAAGAGGGCAGCCCGGCUCCGGCGGCCGCAGCGAGCGAGUCAGUGCCGAUCGUUCGCCUGCAGCUGCGGGCUCCAUCGGCGCUCAGCGCGCCGCCGCCGCCGCCGCCUCCUGCGCUUCUCGCCGCUCGCUCCUGCAGCCGCCGCGCCGCUGGGCCGCGAUGCGCCCCCGCCGCUGGGCGAUCCCGGCGGCGGCGCUCUGGCUGGCGCUGCUGCAGCUGGUGCGCACCUCCGCCGCCGCCGCCGCGCCGCCGCCCCCCAGCUCGGGGGUCUCCCUCGCCGCCGCCGGCUCGUCGCCGGCCAACAACAGCCGCGGCAGCGCCGCCGCCGUCCAGCCGCCGCCGCCGCCGCCAUCGCCGCCGCGGAACGGCACCGGGAGCGGCGGCAGCACCCAACGGAGCCCGGUGGCCGCCUUGCUGCGGGACCUGCCCGCCGUCAAGGCCGCCGUCAUCGGAGCGUGCGCCGCCAGCGUCGGCCUCAUCGCCUGCCUGCUGCUCCGCGUGCUCAGAUCUGGAAGGAAGAUUAAAAAACCCCGCAAAUAUGAUAUCAUCACAACUCCAGCAGAACGGGUAG